UACAGAGGGUGCAAGCGUUAAUCGGAAUUACUGGGCGUAAAGGGUGAGUAGGUGGUAGUUUAAGUUACAUGUGAAAUCUUUGAGCUUAACUCAGAAAGUGCAUGUAAUACUGUUCUACUAGAGUACUGUAGAGGGCGAUGGAAUUUCCGGUGUAGCGGUGAAAUGCGUAGAUAUCGGAAGGAACACCAGUGGCGAAGGCGAUCGCCUGGGCAGAUACUGACACUAAUACACGAAAGCGUGGGGAGCAAACAGGAUUAGAUACCCUGGUAGUCCACGCUGUAAACGAUGAGAACUUGCUGUUGGAUGCUGAAUAAGCGUUUAGUAGCGUAGCUAACGCGAUAAGUUCUCCGCCUGGGGAGUACGGCCGCAAGGUUAAA
RNAcentral lists this ribosomal RNA (377 nucleotides) under uncultured bacterium. RNAcentral's name for it is "bacterial SSU rRNA". It matches the Rfam family "Bacterial small subunit ribosomal RNA", at positions 524 to 898 of the family's 1533-position model. The record is from RNAcentral.